Gorilla gorilla gorilla (western lowland gorilla) is the source of this 271-nucleotide long non-coding RNA. RefSeq lists it as uncharacterized. Lineage: Eukaryota; Metazoa; Chordata; Mammalia; Primates; Hominidae. The record is from RefSeq and is a predicted model, not a curated record. The transcript is spliced from 3 exons.
GGGCUGUGCCAUCCACAGGGCUCUCUAGCAGGGGCAGAGUCAACUGCAUAUAAUCCCACUAUCAGAUGCCAAGGACUCUGUUCUUCCAUACCUCUGUACCCUGUGGAGAGGGGUCAACUGCAGUCCUGGACACAUUCCCCAAAGCCUUGUCACUUCAUGGGGCAACAGGAGAACAGCACUCUGGUCACAUACUCAUGAGACGAGAACAGAGCCUCUUACCUCAGUUACGAUGGUGGACGAGAAGGAGCUUCUGUCGUACACCCAGCCAUCC